This 51-nucleotide non-coding RNA is filed under the name Schistosoma mansoni. The record is from RNAcentral. Lineage: Eukaryota; Metazoa; Platyhelminthes; Trematoda; Strigeidida; Schistosomatidae.
AUCCAGCUGACGAGUCCCAAAUAGGACAACGGAACGCGCGUCAAACUGGAU